UUUUUUGUUCGCUUUCCCUCUGUGACUCUCAUCUCUGUCGCAGUACUUGCUCGACUGAGUCGACGACGUCGUCGUCGUCGUCGUCGUCGCCGUCGUCGUCGUCAGUGCCGCGUUCAAGGCGACCGGGCGCAACCAACCCCCGCGGGCAACCCAGUGACAGUUUUUUCUUUCUCUCGCUCCCUCUCGCUGCGCGUUUCCCGUGUACCGCGAGGGUGGACGCCGCGGGGCUCCGAGCCACCGAACAAAACCGGAAAACAAGAAACUCACCUUCAUCAAAUCCGCCAGACGACGUAAUUAGAGAGAAAAAUGAGCGAUUACGGUCGACGAGGAGGCGGAAGACGGGGCGACUUCGAGGACGAUUACGAUUACGAGCUGCCAAGGGAGAACGCGGGCGGAGGAGCUCGUCGUAGAACACGCGACGAGGGUUACGAUAUGAGGGGCGGGGGUGGGGGCGGAGGCGAUCACGGUGGUCCUGGCACCCUUCAACGGCUCGACAGCAUCCAGGAUCCUGGCAAGCGUUACAUGCUCAAUGACGUUAUCGGCUCCGGAGUUUGUGCCGACGUUUACGAGGCCGUGGACACUCAAGCCGGUAACAAGCGGGUAGCCGUCAAGGUCCAAAAACUCACGCCGGAGAGCCAAGCUCUGAUCGUCGAGGAGUACAGAGUCUUCAGAGACUUCGCCGGUCACCCAAAUCUGCCAGAUUUCUACGGGAUUUAUCGCAAGCGUUCGGGAAGGAAGGGGGAGUUUGAUCAAAUAUGGUUCGCCAUGGAGUACUGCGAGGGUGGCCCGGUGAUGGAUCUCGUCCGGGGGCUUGUGGCGAGCGACAAGAAGAUGCGCGAGGAACACAUCGCGUACAUCCUCAAGGAAGUCAUCAAGGCAUUGGUACAUCUGCACGAAAACAACGUAAUCCAUCGUGACGUUCAAGGGAGCAAUAUUUUAUUGACGAAAGAGGGUGAAGUGAGGCUCGUAGACUUUGGACUGACGCGUAUGAUAAAGGGGGAAAUGGGAAAACGCAACACGAGCAUCGGCUCGCCGUGCUGGAUGGCACCGGAAGUCGUGAUGAGCAACGCCGAGCCCCCGGUCGGUUACGGAAGUCGAGCGGACGUUUGGGCCAUCGGAAUAACCGCGAUCGAGCUCGCCGAUGGGAAGCCACCCUUCCAGGACAUGCAUCCGACUCGAGCGCUUUUCCAAAUCGUCAGAAAUCCACCCCCCGGACUCUACCGGCCCGCCAAUUGGUCACAGAAUUUCAAUGACUUUAUCGCCGAAUGUCUGGAGAAGAAUCCCGACAACAGACCAUUCAUGGCAGAAAUCAUGGAACAUCCUUUCCUUUCGGAACUACCAGAAAAUGAUUAUCCCUUGACCCAAGAGAUAAAAGCUCUGGCGCUGAACUACGGCGACAAGGGGAAAGUAGGUCGCAAACCAGACGUCAUCGUGCGCAAGGGAUUCUUAAAGACUCACCAAACCGAUGCGCCCGAACAAAUGUUGACGGAGGAUCUAGCGGCUCUGGAAAUCCUGACGGAAGAUGCUGUCCUGGACGAACUGCACGCUAGAUUGCGACGAGGAUAUUUUCACACGUUCAUCGGGGACGUGCUGCUCAUCAUUAAUCCCAACGAGAUUCAAGACAUUUACGGCCCCCACAUGCACGCAAAAUAUCAGUGCAAAUCGAGAUCCGACAAUGCGCCCCACAUUUAUUCAGUCGCUGACAGCGCCUUUCAAGAUGCUUUUCACAACGAGGAGCCUCAACAUAUUUUGUUGGCCGGCGAAUCUCAUUCUGGAAAAACGACCAACGUUCUCCACGUGGUUAAGCAUCUCAUGUACCUCGGCAAGGGCUUAACGGACACCGGAAACAGGGUGAUGAAAGCGAUGCAACUGAUCCACGCGUUCUGCCAUGCCGCAACGCCUUUGAAUCCGAACUCAACGAGAUGCGUCCUUCAAACCCAAACGACUUUUGGCUCGACUGGAAAAGCCUCGGGCGCGAUAUUCUGGCUUUAUCAGCUCGAAAAGUGGCGAGUUUCCACGCGCGAUCGAAAUCAAUCGAAUUUUCAUAUUUUCUACUACUUCUACGACGGCCUCGAAGCUACGAACAAAUUGCGCCAAUACUCGCUGACGCCCGGUCGUAAGUUUCGUUACAUGAGGAUCGGCGACAAGAGUACAGGGAACAAGAGAUCGUUCAAAGUGCGAAACGACCCGGCCGGCAAUAGCUUGAAAUACAGUGAAAUGAGGGAGAUUUUGAAGCUCAUGGAGAUGGAGGAACACGAGCAAGUUAUUUGGAAAACCCUCGCGGCUAUUUUGAUCCUCGGUGAAGUUAAAUUCACCGAGGGUAACAACGGCGAGGCCGAAGUCGAGAGCGUCGACACCGCCGAAAUAGUUGCUGAUCACCUGGGCUUGGAUUCGAAAAAAUUCAUUUGGUCGCUGACGAAUUAUUGCCUGAUAAGAAAAGGUGCCGCGGUUCGUCGUCGACACACGUGUGAAGAAGCUCGGGAGGCAAGAGACGUGCUGGCGAACACUCUUUACCAGCGUCUCGUAGACUGGCUGGUCAAUAAUAUCAACGAAAAGUUGACAGUGACUCGAGCACUUUUUGGCGACAAAUUCAGCAUCAGCAUUCUCGAUCUCUUCGGCUUCGAGUGUUUCGCCGUCAACAGGAUCGAGCAGCUGGUCGUGAACACGAUGAACGAGCAAUUGCAGUGCCACUACAAUCAGAGGAUAUUCGCCUGGGAAAUGCAAGAGCAACAAGAGGAAGAAAUCCCGGUGCAGCAGCUACACUUCUACGACAACAAGGCAGCGAUAGAUCAGUUGAUGGGCAAGAGCGAUGGUCUUUUCCACAUAAUUGACGAGGCCUCGAGACAGUUGCAGGACGCUCAAUACAUUCUGGAAAAAAUAAAUCGUCGUUCAAAAAACAUGAACGUCAAAUCGGUCGGGACUCACGAGUUCACCGUCGCUCAUUACACUGGAAAACUUAUAUACGACGCGAGCGAAAUAUCUGAGAAGAAUCGUGACUUCGUGCCCCCUGAAAUGAUCGAGACGUUCAGACUCUCGACUUCGAACCACGUCAAAUCGAUGUUCGUCAACGCAUUGACCAAGUCAGGCAACCUGACCAUUGUCGUCGACCACCCCAAGCCGGUCGAGAAGAAAACUCCGAAGAGCAAAUGGGGUUGCCUCAUGCAAGAAACUCACAAAAUAAGGAAAUACAACACCGCAUCGAGGGGUCAAUUUUCUCAGACCCGGAAAAUGCGAACUUGCGCAGCAACCUUUCGCUCGACGAGUCUGGAAAUACUGAAGAAUCUCUCGGUCGGUGGUGGCAGCGGUGGAACUCAUUUCGUUCGCUGCAUCAGAGCCGAUCUCGAGGGCAAGCCCAAAGGAUUUUAUCGGGAAGUCGUGAAACAGCAAAUCCGAGCUCUCGCGAUACUCGACACGGCGAAAGCUCGGCAACGUGGUUACCCGCACAGGAUACCCUUCCAGGAGUUUCUUCGGAGAUACAAAUUCCUGGCGUUCGAUUUCGACGAGAACGUGGACAUGACGAAGGACAACUGUCGCCUGCUGCUCAUCAGGCUCAAAAUGGAAGGUUGGGUAAUCGGAAAAACCAAAGUUUUUCUCAAAUACUACAACGAAGAAUAUUUGUCGCGUUUGUACGAGACGCAGGUGAAAAAAAUCGUCAAAGUCCAGUGCAUGCUGCGAGCUUUCCUAGCGCGCAAAGCAACCAAAAGCACGAAAGCAGUCAAGAAAGAACUUGCGAAGAAAGCGUCGAUCCAGAGGACGGCGACGCAGGACAUAUCCGACGAACAAGCUGCGGUGAUGAUACAGAAAGCAUACCGGGGUCAUGCGGUGAGGAAAGAGCUGGGCCCGGUCCUGAAGGGGGGGGAGCUGGAUCAGGGGACGAAGGACUUCAUGAGGUAUUACAGCAGCAAAUGGAGGUCGAAGAGCAUGUUUCAAGUCCUCCUACAGUACCGUGCAGCCCGUUAUCAAGACCUCGUGCAAUUUUCGCAGCAAGUCCAUCUUUACAGUCAAGCAUUGCAAGCGAAUCUGCAGACGACGAUUGAGCGCGUGCCUCUAGAAAGAAUAGACCCAGGCAUGAAAGUGUCAGCUUAUCUAGGCCAGUCGAAACCCCCCCAAGUUAACAAAUUGCCGUUCAACAUUCAUCAAGAGUUUCCAUACUUCGAUUCUUCAUACAUGAACGAUCCGAGAAAGGCACAUUCGAAGAGAGGAGGAGCUGGAUCUGUGACAUCCUCAGCGUCUGACGACGAACACGAGGCCUGGGACGCACCGUUGCGGAGACAAACCGUGCCUUGGGCCAACGACAACGUUCAUACGAGAGGGACCCGAAUGUCCCAGUGCGAUGCCCCCCGGAAGAAGUGCCAAAGUCGAGGCAAGAUUCCGUUUAUCAACCUACAACCAGCAGCCGUACUAAGCUACCAUUGGCUCCUAACGCUCAUCAUUCUCGCUCAAAUAACUACGAUGGCACCGGAUCGUUACGUUCGAGGAAGAAAGUACCACCGCCACCGAUACCGAUAAACGCAAUGGCUGCAUCGAGCCGCGGUUACGGUGGUCAAAAUUUCGAUGCUCCGAGCAGAAAUAAUGAGCAGCAAUGGGACUAUGGCGAUAGAAUGCAAAGUAGAGAAUUCCCGGGCGAAAAUCGGGUGAAUCCUAUUCAAGAGAUGCAACGGAUCGGUCGUAGAAACAACAACAACGACGACGAAGAGGACGAACCACCUUUCAACUUUCAG
RNAcentral lists this unclassified non-coding RNA (4721 nucleotides) under Venturia canescens. RNAcentral's name for it is "neither inactivation nor afterpotential protein C, transcript variant X1". Lineage: Eukaryota; Metazoa; Arthropoda; Insecta; Hymenoptera; Ichneumonidae. The record is from RNAcentral.